UACGUAGGGUGCGAGCGUUGUCCGGAAUUAUUGGGCGUAAAGGGCUCGUAGGCGGUUUGUCGCGUCUGCCGUGAAAGUCCGGGGCUCAACUCCGGACUUGCAGUGGGUACGGGCAGGCUAGAGUGUGGUAGGGGAGACUGGAAUUCCUGGUGUAGCGGUGGAAUGCGCAGAUAUCAGGAGGAACACCGAUGGCGAAGGCAGGUCUCUGGGCCACUACUGACGCUGAGAAGCGAAAGCAUGGGGAGCGAACAGG
RNAcentral lists this ribosomal RNA (253 nucleotides) under uncultured bacterium. RNAcentral's name for it is "partial 16S ribosomal RNA". It matches the Rfam family "Bacterial small subunit ribosomal RNA", at positions 524 to 776 of the family's 1533-position model. The record is from RNAcentral.